RNAcentral lists this ribosomal RNA (215 nucleotides) under Salmonella enterica subsp. enterica serovar Agona str. 0322. Its description in RNAcentral is "partial 23S ribosomal RNA". It matches the Rfam family "Bacterial large subunit ribosomal RNA", at positions 2718 to 2925 of the family's 2925-position model. The record is from RNAcentral. Lineage: Bacteria; Pseudomonadati; Pseudomonadota; Gammaproteobacteria; Enterobacterales; Enterobacteriaceae.
GGGUUGUCAUGCCAAUGGCACUGCCCGGUAGCUAAAUGCGGAAGAGAUAAGUGCUGAAAGCAUCUAAGCACGAAACUUGCCCCGAGAUGAGUUCUCCCUGAGACUUAGAGUCUCCUGAAGGAACGUUGAAGACGACGACGUUGAUAGGCCGGGUGUGUAAGCGCAGCGAUGCGUUGAGCUAACCGGUACUAAUGAACCGUGAGGCUUAACCUUAC